This 401-nucleotide ribosomal RNA is filed under the name uncultured bacterium. RNAcentral describes it as "partial 16S ribosomal RNA". It matches the Rfam family "Bacterial small subunit ribosomal RNA", at positions 338 to 732 of the family's 1533-position model. The record is from RNAcentral.
CCUACGGGAGGCAGCAGUAGGGAAUCUUCCACAAUGGGCGAAAGCUUGAUGGAGCGACACAGCGUGCACGAUGAAGGUCUUCGGAUUGUAAAGUGCUGUUAUCAGGGAAGAACGUUUGCUAUAGUAAAUGUUUGCGUAUUGACGGUACCUUCUCAGAAAGCGAUGGCUAACUAGGUGCCAGCAGCCGCGGUAAUACGUAGGUGGCAAGCGUUAUCCGGAAUUAUUGGGCGUAAAGCGUUCGUAGGCGGUUUGUUAAGUCUGGUGGAAAAUCCCGGGGCUAAACGCGGGACCGCGUUUGUUACUAGCAAACUAGAGUGAGAAAGAGGUAAGUGGAACGCAAGGUGAAGCGGUGAAAUGCGUAGAUAUAUGGAAGAACACCAGAGGCGAAGGCAGCUUACUGG